RNAcentral lists this long non-coding RNA (2519 nucleotides) under Lactuca sativa (garden lettuce). Its description in RNAcentral is "long non-coding RNA (LSAT_LNC010148)". The record is from RNAcentral. Lineage: Eukaryota; Viridiplantae; Streptophyta; Magnoliopsida; Asterales; Asteraceae.
GAGAUUGGUAGCGUAGCUCGACUCAUCAUGGAACGAACCAUAUCUAACAAGGUUCGAUUACGCCUCUCAGCCACACCAUUCAACUGUGGUGUCCUGGGAGGUGUCAAUUGUGAGACUAUCCCACAUUCCCUUAGAUAGUCGAGGAACUCUGAACUAAGAUACUCACCACCACGAUCGGAUCGAAGCAUCUUAAUGUUCCUGCCCAAUUGAUUCUCGACUUCCUGUUUAAAUUCCUUAAACCUCUUGAAAGUCUCUGACUUAUGCUUGAUUAAGUAGACAUAUCCAUAUCUACUGUAAUCAUCAGUAAAAGUCAAAUAAUAACAAUUAGCAUCCCUUGUGGUAUGUUUGAAUGGUCCACACACAUCCGUGUGUAUAAGGUCCAACAAACCUUCACCCCUCUCACACGAGCCUGUGAAGGGUGACUUUGUCAUUUUUCCAAGUAAGCAUGAUUCACAACUAUCAUCUGACUUUAGGUCAAAUGACUCCAAGACUCCAUCCUUUUGGAGUUGGCCUAUGCAUUUCUUGCUUAUAUGUCCAAGACGACAGUGCCAUAAUGAUGCUUUAUCCAAGUUAUUAUCAUUAACAGAAUCAAUACACAAUACAUUAUUUCCUAAGUUAUCAACCACAGAUACAGUUUCAUACACACCAUCAUAAGGUAAUGCUUUAAAAUAAAGAACAUUAUGAAAGAAACCAUUAAUCGAACCAACUUCAUUAUCAAAUGAAAAGGUAAAACCUUGUUUGUACAAUGCAUGAAAGGAAAUAAUAUUUCUUGCCAUUUCUAGUGAAGAACAACAUUUAUUCAAAUCUAAAUUAAACCCACUGCUUAGCGAUAAAGUUUAAACUCCAAUAUUGGUGACAGGUAAAGUUUUCAUAUUUCCCAUGAUUAAGUUUAUUCUUCCAUGCUCCACAUUCUCACUUCUUCGUAGCCCCUGCAAAUCAGAACAGAUAUGAAUACCACAACCGGUAUCAAGGACCCAAGAGUAAGAAUGGGGUGAGUUAUUAGAUAAGAUAGUGUAGAUACCUGCAUGGUUGGGUUUAACUUUCCCAUCCUUCACAUCUUGUUGGUACUUUAAGCAGUUCCACUUCCAAUGUGACUUUUCAUGGCAAUAGAAACAUUCAACCUCUUUUGGGUCAGAAGAAGGAGUGACGAAACAUUUCUUAGUUCCACUUGAAGAAGAGCCACCAAGGGUCCUAGCCUUGGUACCCUUCAAAGAGCUCUUCCUCUUCUUCCCUCGACCUUUCCCGAUUGCCAAAACCGGGGCGGAGUUUGGAGUAGGAGUGUUGACAACCGACUUACCCUUAAGACCUGUUUCUGCACUCUUGAGAAGUCCCUGANACUGUAUCUCGUUGUCCAUUGCCUCUUUCCACUUGGCUGACUUAGGGACUGCCAUGGCUUCCGUGUAACUAUUAGGAUCAUCCAUACCUAUCAAUGUCCCAUCACUGAUAAGUGUAUCACCUUUCGCGGUAAUAUGGAAUCCAUAGUAAUGCUCAGGUGCAUUCCUAACUCUCGUGGAACGCCUCAUAGGUACAGACUUGUCAAUUGGCUCAACAGGAGUUUCCUCCUCAAGUUGAGUGCUUGGGUUUGAAGUUCCUUCACCACUUGACUCUUGAAUUUCUUCAUGGUCAACUUUCCUCCCACUAUUUCCUUGGCUUAUGAACUCUCUCUCUCGGAAGAUAGCCCUCCUAGAUACAAACACCACAUUUUCACUAGGACUGUAGAAGAGGUAACCAAAGGAUUUUUGUGGGUAGCCGAUGAAAAUACACCUCUCACUUUGAGGUUCGAGCUUAUCAUGAGUCUCGUGUCUCACGAAAGCCUCGCAACCCCAAAUCUUGAUAUGGUCUAGUUUGGGUACUUUACCAGUCCACAUCUCAUGAGGAGUUUUGGCAACUUUCUGUGUAGGGACUAGAUUAAGGAUAUGGGCGGCAGUCUCUAAGGCAUAACCCCAAAAUGAGAUUGGUAGCGAAGCUCGGCUCAUCAUGGAACGAACCAUAUCCUACAAGGUUCGAUUAUUCCUCUCAGCUACAUCAUUUAACUGAGGUGUCCUGGGAGGUUUCAAUUGUGAGACUAUCCCACAUUCCCUUAGAUAGUCAAGGAACUCUGAACUAAGAUACUCACCACCACGAUCGGAUAGAAGCAUCUUAAUGUUCCUGCCCAAUUGAUUCUCGACUUCCUGUUUAAAUUCCUUAAACCUUUCGAAAGUCUCUGACUUAUGCUUGAUUAAGUAGACAUAUCCAUAUCUACUGUAAUCAUCAGUAAAAGUCAAAUAAUAACGAUUAGCAUCCCUUGUGGUAUGUUUGAAUGGUCCACACACAUCCGUGUGUAUAAGGUCCAACAAACCUUCACCCCUCUCACACGAGCCUGUGAAGGGUGACUUUGUCAUUUUUCCAAGUAAGCAUGAUUCACAACUAUCAUCUGACUUUAGGUCAAAUGACUCCAAGACUCCAUCCUUUUGGAGUUGGCCUAUGCAUUUCUUGCUUAUAUGUCCAAGACGACAGUGCCAUAAUGAUGCUUUAUCCAA